This 76-nucleotide transfer RNA is filed under the name Promethearchaeota archaeon. RNAcentral's name for it is "Candidatus Lokiarchaeota archaeon (microbial mat metagenome) tRNA-Glu". It matches the Rfam family "tRNA". From Rfam's summary of the family: Transfer RNA (tRNA) molecules are approximately 80 nucleotides in length. The record is from RNAcentral. Lineage: Archaea; Promethearchaeati; Promethearchaeota.
GUCCCCGUAGGCGAAUGGUUAAGCCAUCUGACUUUCUAUCAGAAGAUUGCAGGUUCGAACCCUGUCGGGGACGCCA